UCAAAUCUCAAGCCCAUGCUUGGUGUUGGGUCUUCGUCCUCCCCCGAGGGCGUGCCUGAAAAUCAGUGGCGGUGCCAUCGUGGCCUCAAGCGUAGUUGAAACUCUUGCUUUGGAGGGCUGCUGGUCCACCGGCCAAACACAAAAAUCUUAAAG
This 153-nucleotide unclassified non-coding RNA is filed under the name uncultured Pezizomycotina. Its description in RNAcentral is "partial internal transcribed spacer 2". The record is from RNAcentral. Lineage: Eukaryota; Fungi; Ascomycota.